RNAcentral lists this ribosomal RNA (94 nucleotides) under Mustela putorius furo (domestic ferret). The record is from RNAcentral. Lineage: Eukaryota; Metazoa; Chordata; Mammalia; Carnivora; Mustelidae.
GUCUACGGCCAUAUCACCCUGAAUGCACCCAAUCUCAUCUGCUCUCGGAAGCUAAGUAGGGUUAGGCCUGGUUAGUACUUGGAUGGAGUAGUAU